This 77-nucleotide transfer RNA is filed under the name Microvirga sp. RNAcentral's name for it is "tRNA-Pro". It matches the Rfam family "tRNA". From Rfam's summary of the family: Transfer RNA (tRNA) molecules are approximately 80 nucleotides in length. Their secondary structure includes four short double-helical elements and three loops (D, anti-codon, and T loops). RNAcentral also lists the same sequence under 7 other names. Lineage: Bacteria; Pseudomonadati; Pseudomonadota; Alphaproteobacteria; Hyphomicrobiales; Methylobacteriaceae. The record is from RNAcentral.
CGGGGAGUGGCGCAGUCUGGUAGCGCACCUGGUUUGGGACCAGGGGGCCGUAGGUUCGAAUCCUAUCUCCCCGACCA